CCUACGGGAGGCAGCAGUGGGGAAUAUUGCACAAUGGGGGAAACCCUGAUGCAGCAACGCCGCGUGAAGGAAGACGGUUUUCGGAUUGUAAACUUCUAUCAAUAGGGAAAAAAGAAAUGACGGUACCUAAAUAAUAAGCGCCGGAUAACUACGUGCCAGCCGCCGCGGUACUACGUAAGGGGCAAUCGUUCUGCAGAAUUACUGGGUGUAAAGGGGGAGUAGGCGGCAAGGUAAGCGAUAUGUGAAAGCCUUAAGCUUAACUAAAGGAUUGCAUAAAGAACUAUCUAGCUAGAGUACGGGAGAGGAAAGCGGAAUUCCUAGUGUAGCGGUGAAAUGCGUAGAUAUUAGGAAGAACACCAGUGGCGAAGGCGGCUUGCUGGACUGAAACUGACGCUGAGGCACGAAAGCGUGGGGAGCGAACAGGAUUAGAUACCCUGGUAGUC
RNAcentral lists this ribosomal RNA (443 nucleotides) under uncultured bacterium. RNAcentral's name for it is "partial 16S ribosomal RNA". It matches the Rfam family "Bacterial small subunit ribosomal RNA", at positions 338 to 795 of the family's 1533-position model. The record is from RNAcentral.